CCUACGGGGGGCAGCAGUGGGGAAUAUUGGACAAUGGGGGGAACCCUGAUCCAGCCAUGCCGCGUGUGUGAAGAAGGCCCUCGGGUUGUAAAGCACUUUCAGUGAGGAAGAACGCCUGGUGGUUAAUACCCAUCAGGAAAGACAUCACUCACAGAAGAAGCACCGGCUAACUCCGUGCCAGCAGCCGCGGUAAUACGGAGGGUGCGAGCGUUAAUCGGAAUUACUGGGCAUAAAGCGCGCGUAGGUGGCUUGAUAAGCCGGUUGUGAAAGCCCCGGGCUCAACCUGGGAACGGCAUCCGGAACUGUCAAGCUAGAGUGCAGGAGAGGAAGGUAGAAUUCCCGGUGUAGCGGUGAAAUGCGUAGAGAUCGGGAGGAAUACCAGUGGCGAAGGCGGCCUUCUGGACUGACACUGACACUGAGGUGCGAAAGCGUGGGUAGCAAACAGGAUUAGAUACCCCGGUAGUC
Molecule: ribosomal RNA, 465 nt
Filed under: Vreelandella stevensii
Lineage: Bacteria; Pseudomonadati; Pseudomonadota; Gammaproteobacteria; Oceanospirillales; Halomonadaceae
Description: partial 16S ribosomal RNA
Rfam family: Bacterial small subunit ribosomal RNA
Source: RNAcentral